RNAcentral lists this ribosomal RNA (460 nucleotides) under uncultured Treponema sp. RNAcentral describes it as "partial 16S ribosomal RNA". It matches the Rfam family "Bacterial small subunit ribosomal RNA", at positions 341 to 792 of the family's 1533-position model. The record is from RNAcentral. Lineage: Bacteria; Pseudomonadati; Spirochaetota; Spirochaetia; Treponematales; Treponemataceae.
ACGGAAGGCAGCAGCUAGGAAUAUUCCGCAAUGGACGAAAGUCUGACGGAGCGACGCCGCGUGGAUGAUGACGGUCGGAAGAUUGUAAAAUCCUUUUAUAACUGAGGUAUAAGUACUUUGAGAGAAACGGUGUAUGGUGACUGCAGGUUAUGAAUAAGCAACGUCUAAUUACGUGCCAGCAGCCGCGGUAACACGUAAGUUGCGAGCGUUGUUCGGAAUUAUUGGGCGUAAAGGGCAUGUAGGCGGUUUUGCAAGCUUGGUGUGAAAUUCCGGAGCUCAACUCCGGAACUGCGUUGAGAACUGCAUAACUAGAGUCACUGAGGGGCAAUCAGAAUUCCAGGUGUAGGGGUGAAAUCUGUAGAUAUCUGGAAGAAUACCAAUGGCGAAGGCAGGUUACCAGCAGAUGAUUGACGCUGAGGUGCGAAGGUGCGGGGAGCAAACAGGAUUAGAUACCCUGGUA